This is a long non-coding RNA of Drosophila obscura, 924 nucleotides long. RefSeq lists it as uncharacterized. NCBI's taxonomy places the organism in Eukaryota, Metazoa, Arthropoda, Insecta, Diptera, Drosophilidae. The transcript is spliced from 2 exons. The record is from RefSeq and is a predicted model, not a curated record.
CAGCCCUACUUGUUAAGAAAUAUCCAUUCGAUUAUUCUACCAAUUAUGGAUGUGAAAACAAACUCGACCAAUGCCUGUGACAGCACGGGAAUAAGAUUUCGCGAACAAUAUUUUUGUAUGGAUAGUAAUGGCUUUUUUAAAAACGCUGAGCUCUAACGCUAAUUCAAAGAAAAAUGUGGGAAGAAACAACAAAAACGAGACUCUAAUUCUAAAUAUGAAUUGGCUUUUAAACUGUCAAAGAGAGAGAGAAAAGGGAAAAGGGAAAAAACCGUCCAAUUGUCAGUCUGUCAGUCUAUCACAGUGUGUGGGAUAUAAAUUGGCGGGUCAAAAUUCCAUUUUAUUGGCCUACCGUCAUGUGUGCUGACUGUGUUUAAUUCACAAGAGAGAUCCAACAAAAAGAAUAUACAAAAACAUACUAGUAUUUGCGGGGCGCUCCAAGCGAUAGUUAGUCAAAAGUGAUCAAAUUAAUCGAAAUGGCAAAAACUAUUCCAACUAUCGGGGAGGCUAAACAGAGUAGUGGCAAUGUGUUAAAAAGUGUAUUGGCGAUAUAAAUAAAUUACUAUAGGUAGCUGGCUGCCACCUGGUCAAUAAAUAAGAAUAAAUUAACUUGCAAGGGGGGUGGGGGAUUUUAAAAAUUUUAUCGAGGGCUGGGCAAAUUGUUUUGGCUAUCGAUAGUUCCAUGGGGAGAAGGGUCAAGAAGGUGGGGACUUUAAAAUAUUUACAAUUGGACCAUGGAAACAUUUAAACAGCACAACAAACUAAAAACAAAUUAAAAUACAAUAUGAUACAAAUAAACUACAAGGACAAAAAGAGGAUAGCAAGGAGAAGGAAAAAAGUCUGUCCCGUACAAUAUGUAGGCAUGGCAAGCAUCCAGUAAUGGCUUGUGGAAAACAAUUUAAAAAGAAACACAGAUACAUGCAAAAA